Molecule: ribosomal RNA, 375 nt
Filed under: uncultured organism
Description: partial 16S ribosomal RNA
Rfam family: Bacterial small subunit ribosomal RNA
Source: RNAcentral
GUAGGUGGCAAGCGUUGUCCGGGAAUUAUUGGGGCGUAAAGCGCGCGCAGGCGGUUCUUUAAGUCUGAUGUGAAAGCCCACGGGCUCAACCGUGGAGGGUCAUGGAAACUGGAGAACUUGAGUACAGAAGAGGAAAGCGGAAUUCCACGUGUAGCGGUGAAAUGCGUAGAGAUGUGGAGGAACACCAGUGGCGAAGGCGGCUUUCUGGUCUGUAACUGACGCUGAGGCGCGAAAGCGUGGGGAGCAAACAGGAUUAGAUACCCUGGUAGUCCACGCCGUAAACGAUGAGUGCUAAGUGUUAGGGGGGUUUCCGCCCCUCAGUGCUGCAGCUAACGCAUUAAGCACUCCGCCUGGGGAGUACGGCCGCAAAGGCUG